Chelonia mydas (Green sea turtle) is the source of this 141-nucleotide long non-coding RNA. RefSeq lists it as uncharacterized. NCBI's taxonomy places the organism in Eukaryota, Metazoa, Chordata, Testudines, Cheloniidae. The transcript has 3 exons. The record is from RefSeq and is a predicted model, not a curated record.
CAGGAGUUCAGAGUGUGCUCUUCCCACGUGAGCAUGCUGAAAAACUCAUGAAGCUGCAGAACCAGAGGGGCGGUCGCAUCUUUUUGCAGGACAUCAAGAAACCAGAUCGUGAUGAUUGGGAGAAUGGGCUGACAGCAGUGG